This 433-nucleotide ribosomal RNA is filed under the name uncultured bacterium. RNAcentral describes it as "partial 16S ribosomal RNA". It matches the Rfam family "Bacterial small subunit ribosomal RNA", at positions 29 to 507 of the family's 1533-position model. The record is from RNAcentral.
AACGAACGCUGGCGGCAGGCCUAACACAUGCAAGUCGAGCGAGGACUUCGGUCCUAGCGGCGGACGGGUGAGUAACGCGUGGGAACGUGCCCUUUGCUUCGGAAUAGCCCUGGGAAACUGGGAGUAAUACCGGAUGAGCCCUUUGGGGGAAAGAUUUAUCGGCGAAGGAUCGGCCCGCGUUGGAUUAGGUAGUUGGUGGGGUAAUGGCCUACCAAGCCGACGAUCCAUAGCUGGUUUGAGAGGAUGAUCAGCCACACUGGGACAGAGACACGGCCCAGACUCCUACGGGAGGCAGCAGUGGGGAAUCUUAGACAAUGGGGGAAACCCUGAUCUAGCCAUGCCGCGUGAGCGAUGAAGGCCUUAGGGUUGUAAAGCUCUUUCAGCUGGGAAGAUAAUGACGGUACCAGCAGAAGAAGCCCCGGCUAACUCCGUG